This 451-nucleotide ribosomal RNA is filed under the name uncultured bacterium. Its description in RNAcentral is "partial 16S ribosomal RNA". It matches the Rfam family "Bacterial small subunit ribosomal RNA", at positions 354 to 796 of the family's 1533-position model. The record is from RNAcentral.
GUGGGGAAUAUUGGACAAUGGGGGGAACCCUGAUCCAGCCAUGCCGCGUGUGUGAAGAAGGCCUUUUGGUUGUAAAGCACUUUAAGCGAGGAGGAGGCUACCGAGAUUAAUACUCUUGGAUAGUGGACGUUACUCGCAGAAUAAGCACCGGCUAACUCUGUGCCAGCAGCCGCGGUAAUACAGAGGGUGCGAGCGUUAAUCGGAUUUACUGGGCGUAAAGCGCGCGUAGGUGGUUAAUUAAGUCAAAUGUGAAAUCCCCGAGCUUAACUUGGGAAUUGCAUUCGAUACUGGUUAGCUAGAGUAUGGGAGAGGAUGGUAGAAUUCCAGGUGUAGCGGUGAAAUGCGUAGAGAUCUGGAGGAAUACCGAUGGCGAAGGCAGCCAUCUGGCCUAAUACUGACACUGAGGUACGAAAGCAUGGGGAGCAAACAGGAUUAGAUACCCCAGUAGUCC